CACGUAGGGCGCGAGCGUUGUCCGGAAUUAUUGGGCGUAAAGAGCUCGUAGGCGGCCUGUUGCGUCCGCUGUGAAAGCCCGGGGCUUAACCCCGGGUCGGCAGUGGAUACGGGCAGGCUAGAGGUAGGUAGGGGAGAAUGGAAUUCCCGGUGUAGCGGUGAAAUGCGCAGAUAUCGGGAGGAACACCGGUGGCGAAGGCGGGUCUCUGGGCCGCAACUGACGCUGAGGAGCGAAAGCAUGGGGAGCGAACAGG
RNAcentral lists this ribosomal RNA (253 nucleotides) under uncultured bacterium. RNAcentral's name for it is "partial 16S ribosomal RNA". It matches the Rfam family "Bacterial small subunit ribosomal RNA", at positions 524 to 776 of the family's 1533-position model. The record is from RNAcentral.